RNAcentral lists this ribosomal RNA (431 nucleotides) under uncultured bacterium. RNAcentral describes it as "partial 16S ribosomal RNA". It matches the Rfam family "Bacterial small subunit ribosomal RNA", at positions 29 to 507 of the family's 1533-position model. The record is from RNAcentral.
AACGAACACUGGCGGCAGGCUUAACACAUGCAAGUCGAGCGCCCCGCAAGGGGAGCGGCAGACGGGUGAGUAACGCGUGGGAACGUACCUUUUGGUUCGGAACAACUCCGGGAAACUGGAGCUAAUACCGGAUAAGCCCUAACGGGGAAAGAUUUAUCGCCGAAAGAUCGGCCCGCGUCUGAUUAGCUAGUUGGUGAGGUAACGGCUCACCAAGGCGACGAUCAGUAGCCGGUCUGAGAGGAUGAUCAGCCACACUGGGACUGAGACACGGCCCAGACUCCUACGGGAGGCAGCAGUGGGGAAUAUUGGACAAUGGGCGCAAGCCUGAUCCAGCCAUGCCGCGUGAGUGAUGAAGGCCUUAGGGUUGUAAAGCUCUUUUGUCCGGGAAGAUAAUGACUGUACCGGAAGAAUAAGCCCCGGCUAACUUCGUG